CGCUGUCUUGUAUGAGUUACAUGCUUCUUAUACUUUACCAGUGUAAUUAUUCUCUUUCUUGCAUUUUUUCUGUCAUUUGUUUAACGGGCUUUCCUACUGCUUAUCCAGAUUCAUUUGACUUUGGAUUUAUUAACUUGCAAAAUAAAGAAUCUUUUUGGCAUUAAGCAAAGUGUGGAGAGGUAUCUCUGUCCUUUACUCGCAUCGUUUUUCGACGCUUUCUUUUCUACACAGUUGCGAUCUCUGUGUAUAUACCUGAUCACGAUUUUUUACUGUAUUAAUUGAGAUACUAAAAGUGUUAAAAUUCAAAAUUUUUCAAUCAGUCCUUCAUAAAUCUGCAACGAUGAAUACAGUAAUGUAUCUAUUUUUGUUGGUUGCCAUUUUUGCGACUGUCUCGAUCUUUGAUGUUAUGGCUGAGUCAUCAGUUACAGCGGAUUCUACUUCGCAAUCUCAGCGAAAUGUAAUAACCAGAAGAUUACGUCCCACCAAAUCUACAAAACAACCAAAGAAUAAUAAAAUGUUUAACUGUAGAUGUAACUGUUAAGAUAGGGUUUAACAUUACAGGAUUUAUUAAAGAAUUCUUAAAGCUACAAGAAAGUGUGAGUAUAUAAGACUACACAAUCCACUUAAGAUGAAUUAUGGCAUGAAAAGGUUAUAUGAUUAUGGCACAAUAUAUUUAACAGAAUUUUCAGUUAUUACAAGUAUUUUAUGGCAAUUUAUCUAUGAUAUUGUAAAAAAUUGUUCGUGUCAAAUAAUGUUGUUGAUGUCGAUUUCUAUUAUAUAAAAAAUAUAUAACAUGUAAUAAUAUUAUUCCAUUAUUAUAUGCAUGAUACCAUGUGAAUGCAACAAAUUUUCAUUUCUUCCACAAAAUAUUAAUGAAAAUA
Camponotus floridanus (Florida carpenter ant) is the source of this 881-nucleotide long non-coding RNA. RefSeq lists it as uncharacterized. The transcript is spliced from 4 exons. The record is from RefSeq and is a predicted model, not a curated record. NCBI's taxonomy places the organism in Eukaryota, Metazoa, Arthropoda, Insecta, Hymenoptera, Formicidae.